This 449-nucleotide ribosomal RNA is filed under the name Priestia megaterium. RNAcentral's name for it is "bacterial SSU rRNA". It matches the Rfam family "Bacterial small subunit ribosomal RNA", at positions 77 to 510 of the family's 1533-position model. The record is from RNAcentral. Lineage: Bacteria; Bacillati; Bacillota; Bacilli; Caryophanales; Bacillaceae.
AGCUUGCUUCUAUGACGUUAGCGGCGGACGGGUGAGUAACACGUGGGCAACCUGCCUGUAAGACUGGGAUAACUUCGGGAAACCGAAGCUAAUACCGGAUAGGAUCUUCUCCUUCAUGGGAGAUGAUUGAAAGAUGGUUUCGGCUAUCACUUACAGAUGGGCCCGCGGUGCAUUAGCUAGUUGGUGAGGUAACGGCUCACCAAGGCAACGAUGCAUAGCCGACCUGAGAGGGUGAUCGGCCACACUGGGACUGAGACACGGCCCAGACUCCUACGGGAGGCAGCAGUAGGGAAUCUUCCGCAAUGGACGAAAGUCUGACGGAGCAACGCCGCGUGAGUGAUGAAGGCUUUCGGGUCGUAAAACUCUGUUGUUAGGGAAGAACAAGUACAAGAGUAACUGCUCGUACCUUGACGGUACCUAACCAGAAAGCCACGGCUAACUACGUGCCA